This 439-nucleotide ribosomal RNA is filed under the name uncultured bacterium. Its description in RNAcentral is "bacterial SSU rRNA". It matches the Rfam family "Bacterial small subunit ribosomal RNA", at positions 340 to 773 of the family's 1533-position model. The record is from RNAcentral.
UACGGAAGGCAGCAGUGGGGAAUAUUGCACAAUGGGCGCAAGCCUGAUGCAGCCAUGCCGCGUGUAUGAAAAAGGCCUUCGGGUUGUAAAGUACUUUCAGUCGUGAGGAAGGUGUUAAGGUUAAUAACCUUAGCAAUUGACGUUAGCGACAGAAGAAGCACCGGCUAACUCCGUGCCAGCAGCCGCGGUAAUACGGAGGGUGCGAGCGUUAAUCGGAAUUACUGGGCGUAAAGGGCACGCAGGCGGUUAAUUAAGUUGGAUGUGAAAUCCCCGGGCUUAACCUGGGAAUGGCAUUCAAGACUGGUUAGCUAGAGUCUUGUAGAGGGGGUAGAAUUCCAUGUGUAGCGGUGAAAUGCGUAGAGAUGUGGAGGAAUACCGGUGGCGAAGGCGGCCCCUGGACAAAGACUGACGCUCAUGUGCGAAAGCGUGAGGAGCAAAC